AGUGAACGCUGGCGGUAGGCCUAACACAUGCAAGUCGAACGGCAGCACAGUAAGAGCUUGCUCUUACGGGUGGCGAGUGGCGGACGGGUGAGGAAUACAUCGGAAUCUACUUUUUCGUGGGGGAUAACGUAGGGAAACUUACGCUAAUACAGCAUACGACCUACGGGUGAAAGCAGGGGAUCUUCGUACAUAGCGCGAAUGAAUGAGCCGAUGUGGGAUUCCCUAGUGGGCGGGGUAAAGGCCCACCAAGGCGACGAUCCGUGGCUGGCCAGAGAGGAUGUUCGGCCACACUGGAACUGAGCCACGGUCCGGACUCCUACGGGAGGCGCCAGUGGGGAAUAUUGGACAAUGGGCGCAAGCCCGAUCCAGCCCUCCCGCGUGGGUGAAGAAGGCCUUCGGGUUGUAAAGCCCUUUUGUUGGGAAAGAAAAGCAGCAGGUUAAUACCCCGCUGUUCUGACGGUACCCAAAGAAUAAGCACCGGCUAACUUCGUG
This 492-nucleotide ribosomal RNA is filed under the name uncultured bacterium. Its description in RNAcentral is "partial 16S ribosomal RNA". It matches the Rfam family "Bacterial small subunit ribosomal RNA", at positions 29 to 507 of the family's 1533-position model. The record is from RNAcentral.